RNAcentral lists this ribosomal RNA (505 nucleotides) under uncultured bacterium. Its description in RNAcentral is "partial 16S ribosomal RNA". It matches the Rfam family "Bacterial small subunit ribosomal RNA", at positions 28 to 507 of the family's 1533-position model. The record is from RNAcentral.
GACGAACGCUGGCGGCGUGCCUAAUACAUGCAAGUAGAACGCACAGUUUAUACCGUAGCUUGCUACACCAUAGACUGUGAGUUGCGAACGGGUGAGUAACGCGUAGGUAACCUGCCUGGUAGCGGGGGAUAACUAUUGGAAACGAUAGCUAAUACCGCAUAAUAUUAAUUAUUGCAUGAUAAUUGAUUGAAAGAUGCAACUGCAUCACUACCAGAUGGACCUGCGUUGUAUUAGCUAGUAGGUGAGGUAACGGCUCACCUAGGCGACGAUACAUAGCCGACCUGAGAGGGUGAUCGGCCACACUGGGACUGAGACACGGCCCAGACUCCUACGGGAGGCAGCAGUAGGGAAUCUUCGGCAAUGGACGAAAGUCUGACCGAGCAACGCCGCGGGAGUGAAGAAGGUUUUCGGAUCGUAAAGCUCUGUUGUAAGAGAAGAACGGGUGUGAGAGUGGAAAGUUCACACUGUGACGGUAUCUUACCAGAAAGAGACGGCUAACUACGUG